This 489-nucleotide ribosomal RNA is filed under the name uncultured bacterium. Its description in RNAcentral is "partial 16S ribosomal RNA". It matches the Rfam family "Bacterial small subunit ribosomal RNA", at positions 28 to 507 of the family's 1533-position model. The record is from RNAcentral.
GAUGAACGCUAGCGGCAGGCCUAAUACAUGCAAGUCGAACGGGAUCCAGAUCAAAGCUUGCUUUGGUUUGGUGAGAGUGGCGCACGGGUGCGUAACGCGUGAGCAACCUACCCUUGUCAGGGGGAUAGCCCGGCGAAAGUCGGACUAAUACCGCAUGACAUCAUUGAGAGGCAUCUUUCGAUGAUCAAAGAUUUAUCGGACAAGGAUGGGCUCGCGUGACAUUAGCUAGUUGGUAAGGUAACGUCUUACCAAGGCUGCGAUGUCUAGGGGCUCUGAGAGGGGAGUCCCGCACACUGGUACUGAGACACGGACCAGACUCCUACGGGAGGCAGCAGUAGGGAAUAUUGGGCAAUGGACGGAGGUCUGAACCAGCCAGGCCGCGUGCAGAAAGACGGCUCUAUGAGUUGGAACCUGCUUUUAUACGGGAACAAACGUCGGUACGUGUACCGGUCUGAGUGUACCGUAAGAUAAGGAUCGGCUAACUCCGUG